Molecule: long non-coding RNA, 1395 nt
Organism: Mandrillus leucophaeus (drill)
Lineage: Eukaryota; Metazoa; Chordata; Mammalia; Primates; Cercopithecidae
Exons: 2
Source: RefSeq, a predicted model, not a curated record
GCGGCUUCUUUAAAGGCAAGGCAGGCGGCGGACAGCUUGGUUGUAACCCUUUAGCGCUGGGUCGUGUGUGGCCCACCCUCGGGCUCAGGCGUUGUGGAGUGGUUGGAGGUGGUUGUAGUAUUUGGCAAAGAACUUGUCCCUGAAGGGCUCAGGAGACCUGUUUUCUCAGCUCCUAAUAUGGAAAAUUGAAGGCAUUUCUUACGAGAUGCAGAUUUUAAAGCGGGCGUAUCUACUCGAGGGGUUUGGAUUACUGCACUGCACAAGUUCCAGUAUCUCUCGGUUUUGGCUGAGAAGAGCUGUGCUUCUCACCAGCUACUGGUGAGACACUCGCCCUACAGGCAGAGUCAGUAUGGUUGUGGACAUUGACCUGCGCAGCAAAAGAAAGUGGCUAAUUUGCGCCAAUAAUAAUAAAUUAGCUUGUGUUUGAAUUAGCCAAGUGUUUGCGGUUUUGCUAACUUGGCUUCACUUUGCAUGGAGUGGGAAGUGCCUGCUUCUGAAAAGGUGACUUUUUUCCUAAUUAGAAUAGACUCCUCUUAAGGCCAUGCAGUUUUCAAAGAAAAAAGACAAGCUGGACGUUUUGUUAGUAACAAAAUGUAUCUGAAGCCUAGCGAGAAGGCAGCAUACCUCAGCGUUUUCUUCUCUGCACUUGUAAGAAAGAUCAAAGACUUUAAGACUUUCACUAUUUCUUCUACCGCUAUCUACUUACGAACUUCAAAGAGGAACCAGGAGUAUGGGAGGAGCAUGAAAGUGGACGAGGAGCGUGACCACUGAAGCACAGCGCCACAGGUUUAGGCCUCCAGAUGACUUCGGGCAGGCCUGGAUGAUAUCCGGCCUUCCACAAAAAGCUGGUGGAGCAGAGUGUUCCCUGACUUCUCCAAAGAAAGGACACUCCCUUUUGCGGUCUGCUAAGUAACAAGUGCCUUCCCAGACACUGGCCUUACCACUUGACCAAGGAGCCCUCAAGCGGCCCUUAUGCGGGCAUGACAGGAGGCUCACCUCUUGCCUUCUAGGUCACCUCUCACAAUGUCCCUUCAGCACCUGACCCUAUACCUGCUGGUUAUUCCUGGGGUAUAUUAGUAAUGCAACAAAGAGUAAUAUUAAAAGCUAAUAGUCAAUAAUGUUUAUAAUAAUGAUUGAUAAUCGUCCAUAAUCAUCUCUAUAUCUAAUUUGUAUUUUAACUAUUCUAACUGUUUUCUUUAUUAUACUGAAACAGUUGGUGCCUUCAGUCUCUUGCCUCGGCACCUAGGUAGUCCUUCGCCCACAUCCAAAUCUUGGACAACAGGAGCAUUAUAAAAGAUAAUGGAGAGCUUUUUCAGAAUGUUGAAUUUAGGAGUUGUGUGUGCUUUUGAUCUUCAUGUCAAUCCAUAAACAAUAAAUCUUGUUCUUAAAUUUGAA